This 98-nucleotide small nuclear RNA is filed under the name Marmota monax (woodchuck). It matches the Rfam family "U2 spliceosomal RNA". Rfam says of the family: U2 is a small nuclear RNA (snRNA) component of the spliceosome (involved in pre-mRNA splicing). Complementary binding between U2 snRNA (in an area lying towards the 5' end but 3' to hairpin I) and the branchpoint sequence (BPS) of the intron results the bulging out of an unpaired adenosine, on the BPS, which initiates a nucleophilic attack at the intronic 5' splice site, thus starting the first of two transesterification reactions that mediate splicing. The record is from RNAcentral. Lineage: Eukaryota; Metazoa; Chordata; Mammalia; Rodentia; Sciuridae.
AUCGCUUCUCGGCCUUUUGGCUAAGAUCAAGUCUAGUAUCUGUUCUUAAGUUAUACAAAAUUACAUAUAAGAGGAAGUGAGGGGAAAGGGAAAAAAAU